CCUACGGGGGGCAGCAGUGGGGAAUAUUGCACAAUGGGCGCAAGCCUGAUGCAGCCAUGCCGCGUGUGUGAAGAAGGCCUUCGGGUUGUAAAGCACUUUCAGCGGGGAGGAAGGCGUUAAGGUUAAUAACCUUGUCGAUUGACGUUACCCGCAGAAGAAGCACCGGCUAACUCCGUGCCAGCAGCCGCGGUAAUACGGAGGGUGCAAGCGUUAAUCGGAAUUACUGGGCGUAAAGCGCACGCAGGCGGUCUGUCAAGUCGGAUGUGAAAUCCCCGGGCUCAACCUGGGAACUGCAUUCGAAACUGGCAGGCUAGAGUCUUGUAGAGGGGGGUAGAAUUCCAGGUGUAGCGGUGAAAUGCGUAGAGAUCUGGAGGAAUACCGGUAGCGAAGGCGGCCCCCUGGACAAAGACUGACGCUCAGGUGCGAAAGCGUGGGGAGCAAACAGGAUUAGAUACCCGUGUAGUC
Molecule: ribosomal RNA, 465 nt
Filed under: uncultured Klebsiella sp.
Lineage: Bacteria; Pseudomonadati; Pseudomonadota; Gammaproteobacteria; Enterobacterales; Enterobacteriaceae
Description: bacterial SSU rRNA
Rfam family: Bacterial small subunit ribosomal RNA
Source: RNAcentral